UUUCCUUUUCUUUUUUUUUUCUUUUUUUUUCUCUCCCCCCUUUCUUCUAGCAGCCACCGAGACCCCUCCCUCCCCGACCUCCAUCUCUCCCGCACCUCUCCGCCGCCGCCUUUCAGCCGUUACCCUAGCCGCCGACGCAUCGCCCCAGUCGAUCGUGUUUCCAGCCACGCCGCGCGAGAGACCCUUCGUCGAUCGUUCCGUCUCUCGUCCGUUCUGCCCACGUCAACGUCGUCCGCUUCAGCACCAAUGUCGGAUCUUCAAGCCACGACAGAUCUGGUAGUCGCGCUGCGUCGCCGUCCAGCCUCCAGUUGCACCGCUGCCAAGAUCUGUCCAGCCCCCUAGCCGCGCCGCUCCCCUAUUCCAGACGACGUCGUCGUCACCCUAAGCCGCCAAGACCGUUCGCGUGCAGUUCCGGCUUCGUCUACUUCUGUCACCGCCUUGGUGGACGCCGACAAACGUUUCCCAGCCGCAGUGAUUGUGUCCAUCACCGAUCUAUCAUUUGGGAAUGUGUGUGUUAUAUAUCGAUCAUAAUGAAAUCGGAAGGAUCUGAACUCGCUCAUGGAUGCUCUUCGUUAAGAGUUCCUUCAUUCGAGGCGUUGUUCAUCAAGAAAGGGACCAAUUUUUGGCAGAAUAUUGUUAAAGUUUGUUAAGUUUUUGGUAAGUAGUUGAUUGGUUAUUUUUUGGAUUAAGAGUGAUUGUCUAUAAUUAAGUUAUUAAUUUUCGAUUUAAUUUAUAUUCAGGUUGACCAACUGAUUUGAGUUUUGGAAUUUAUUUUGGACCAAGCCACAACUUUGGGCAUGAUUCAAGAUUCAUCUAAGCUAGGAGGAAAUCAAUUUGCUUGUCACUUAGACAUAAUUUUGAGGUAAGUAAUCUUACUAUUGGAACUGCCCUAGUGCCAGGCAAUAAUAAUUAUGAUUUACAGAGGAUCAUUAGUUAACAUGAUAUUCAUGUAUGCCUUCAUUGACUGAGGUUUGAAAGGACUAGAGUCAGUUAUUGAUAAUUAUGAUUUAUUGAGGAUAUAUUAAUGGUGUAAUGUUUAUGUAUGCCUUGUUGGCAUGAGGGUUUAAAAGGCUAGAUGUGCAUAGAGAUGUUUGAAUGCUACAAUGAUUUGAGCAUAUUAUUAUUCUUGGAGAUCCUACUGAAUCUGGGGAUGAUGAGAUGUAUAUGUAUGUUAUGGGACUACGACGAUGAGAUAUAUAUGUAUGUUAUAGAACAAUGAUGAUGAGAUGUAUAUGUAAUGAGACUAGGAUGACGAGAGGUAUAUGUAUGUUGUAGAGCCAUGAUGUUGAGGUGUAUAUGUUUGUAUACAACCAUGUCGUGAUACUUAUGAUGUUGAGAUUGUGAUAGUGUCCUCACUGAUUAGUUAGAUGCCCACUAGAUGUUGUGUUUCCCUCGGGAUACACUAGAGGUGGUGUUAUCCUUCGGGAUUCACCCGAGGUUAUGUUUCCUUGGGGAUUCACCAGAGGUUGUCUUUCCUUCAGGAUUCACCAGAGGUAGCUUGUAUUUUCUUUGGGAUUCACUAGAGGUGGUGGUUUCCUUCGGGAUCCACUAGAGGUUGUGUUUCCCUCGGGAUUUACUAGAGGUGGUGCUUUCCUUUGGGAUUCAUCAGAGAUUAUGGGUCCUACGAGACUUACUAAAGGUAGUGGGCAUACUUAACUAUAGUAGGAUAAAAAUCAGUUUUUCAUGUAUGUGUAUGUCCUAUGAGGACUAGAGAAGUUUAUAUGUUUCCACCAGAGGUAGGCAUCUAGAGGACAUAGAUGCCUAGCCUAACCCCGGUAGUGAGGUUACUUACUGAGUAUUUUAUAUUCAUCAUUUCUCAUGUUGUUUUAGGUAAAGGUAGAAAUGCACUGGCGAUUGAUAAGUGGAAUCCGUGAUCGAGCCACUGAGAUCAGUUUUAUGCUUCCGCUCAUGAUAUUUAGAUUUCUUUUCAUGUUUUUCAACUUUUAGUUUUGAUGUUUGAAACUUACUAUUAAGAUUUGUUUUCAGA
This is a non-coding RNA of Benincasa hispida (wax gourd), 1987 nucleotides long. The record is from RefSeq and is a predicted model, not a curated record. NCBI's taxonomy places the organism in Eukaryota, Viridiplantae, Streptophyta, Magnoliopsida, Cucurbitales, Cucurbitaceae.